Molecule: ribosomal RNA, 979 nt
Filed under: Enterococcus faecalis
Lineage: Bacteria; Bacillati; Bacillota; Bacilli; Lactobacillales; Enterococcaceae
Description: partial 23S ribosomal RNA
Rfam family: Bacterial large subunit ribosomal RNA
Source: RNAcentral
GCGACUAAGCGUACACGGUGGAUGCCCUGGCAGUCAGAGGCGAUGAAGGACGUGCUAAUCUGCGAUAAGCGUCGGUAAGGUGAUAUGAACCGUUAUAACCGGCGAUUUCCGAAUGGGGAAACCCAGUGUGUUUCGACACACUAUCAUUAACUGAAUCCAUAGGUUAAUGAGGCGAACCGGGGGAACUGAAACAUCUAAGUACCCCGAGGAAAAGAAAUCAACCGAGAUUCCCCCAGUAGCGGCGAGCGAACGGGGAGCAGCCCAGAGCCUGAAUCAGUGUGUGUGUUAGUGGAAGCGUCUGGAAAGGCGCGCGAUACAGGGUGACAGCCCCGUACACAAAAAUGCACAUGCUGUGAGCUCGAUGAGUAGGGCGGGACACGUGGUAUCCUGUCUGAAUAUGGGGGGACCAUCCUCCAAGGCUAAAUACUCCUGACUGACCGAUAGUGAACCAGUACCGUGAGGGAAAGGCGAAAAGAACCCCGGCGAGGGGAGUGAAAAAGAACCUGAAACCGUGUACGUACAAGCAGUGGGAGCACGCUUAGGCGUGUGACUGCGUACCUUUUGUAUAAUGGGUCAGCGACUUAUAUUCUGUAGCAAGGUUAACCGAAUAGGGGAGCCGAAGGGAAACCGAGUCUUAACUGGGCGUUAAGUUGCAGGGUAUAGACCCGAAACCCGGUGAUCUAGCCAUGGGCAGGUUGAAGGUUGGGUAACACUAACUGGAGGACCGAACCGACUAAUCUUGAAAAAUUAGCGGAUGACUUGUGGCUGGGGGUGAAAGGCCAAUCAAACCGGGAGAUAGCUGGUUCUCCCCGAAAGCUAUUUAGGUAGCGCCUCGUGAAUUCAUCUCCGGGGGUAGAGCACUGUUUCGGCAAGGGGGUCAUCCCGACUUACCAACCCGAUGCAAACUGCGAAUACCGGAGAAUGUUAUCACGGGAGACACACGGCGGGUGCUAACGUCCGUCGUGAAGAGGGAAACAAC